UACGUAUGGGGCAAGCGUUAUCCGGAAUUAUUGGGCGUAAAGAGUGCGUAGGUGGUUACCUAAGCGCAAGGUUUAAUCUUGAGGCUCAACCUCAUUCUGCCUUGCGAACUGGGCUACUUGAGUGCAGGAGGGGAAAGCGGAAUUCCCAGUGUAGCGGUGAAAUGCGUAGAUAUUGGGAAGAACACCGGUGGCGAAGGCAGCUUUCCGGACUGUAACUGACACUGAGGCACGAAAGCGUGGGGAGCAAACAGGAUUAGAUACCCUGGUAGUCCCU
Molecule: ribosomal RNA, 274 nt
Filed under: uncultured prokaryote
Description: partial 16S ribosomal RNA
Rfam family: Bacterial small subunit ribosomal RNA
Source: RNAcentral